GCCCGUGUGGCUCAGUGGUUAGAGCGUCCGCCCCCGGACUGGAGGGUCCUGGGUUCGAGUCCGCUCAUGGGCA
RNAcentral lists this transfer RNA (73 nucleotides) under Myotis lucifugus (little brown bat). It matches the Rfam family "tRNA". Rfam says of the family: Transfer RNA (tRNA) molecules are approximately 80 nucleotides in length. Their secondary structure includes four short double-helical elements and three loops (D, anti-codon, and T loops). Further hydrogen bonds mediate the characteristic L-shaped molecular structure. tRNAs have two regions of fundamental functional importance: the anti-codon, which is responsible for specific mRNA codon recognition, and the 3' end, to which the tRNAs corresponding amino acid is attached (by aminoacyl-tRNA synthetases). tRNAs cope with the degeneracy of the genetic code in two manners: having more than one tRNA (with a specific anti-codon) for a particular amino acid; and 'wobble' base-pairing, i.e. permitting non-standard base-pairing at the 3rd anti-codon position. Lineage: Eukaryota; Metazoa; Chordata; Mammalia; Chiroptera; Vespertilionidae. The record is from Rfam by way of RNAcentral.